This 65-nucleotide transfer RNA is filed under the name Protaetia speciosa jousselini. RNAcentral describes it as "tRNA-Ala". Lineage: Eukaryota; Metazoa; Arthropoda; Insecta; Coleoptera; Scarabaeidae. The record is from RNAcentral.
AGGGUAAUAGUUAACUAUAACAUUUAACUUGCACUUAAAAGGUAUUGACAAAAUCAAUUUACCUU